This 79-nucleotide microRNA precursor is filed under the name Bombyx mori (domestic silkworm). RNAcentral's name for it is "mir-2774 microRNA precursor family". It matches the Rfam family "mir-2774 microRNA precursor family". The record is from Rfam by way of RNAcentral. Lineage: Eukaryota; Metazoa; Arthropoda; Insecta; Lepidoptera; Bombycidae.
ACAACAUUCGCGGACCGUCGCGUCGCGUCGAUCUACCGAGCAAUAAUACCCGCUCGUUGGAAGAUCUUCCCUUCGUCGU